GUCGAACGAUGAACCUCGCUUGCGGGGGGAUUAGUGGCGAACGGGUGAGUAACACGUGAGUAACCUGCCCUUAACUCUGGGAUAAGCCUUGGAAACGAGGUCUAAUACUGGAUAUUGACUUUACCUCGCAUGGGGUUUUGUUGAAAGAUUUAUUGGUUUUGGAUGGACUCGCGGCCUAUCAGCUUGUUGGUGAGGUAAUGGCUCACCAAGGCGACGACGGGUAGCCGGCCUGAGAGGGUGACCGGCCACACUGGGACUGAGACACGGCCCAGACUCCUACGGGAGGCAGCAGUGGGGAAUAUUGCACAAUGGGCGAAAGCCUGAUGCAGCGACGCCGCGUGAGGGAUGACGGCCUUCGGGUUGUAAACCUCUUUCAGUAGGGAACAAGGCCAGCAUUUUUGUUGGUUGAGGGUACUUGCAGAAGAAGCGCCGGCUAACUACGUGCCAGCAGCCGCGGUAAUACGUAGGGCGCAAGCGUUAUCCGGAAUUAUUGGGCGUAAAGAGCUCGUAGGCGGUUUGUCGCGUCUGCCGUGAAAGUCCGGGGCUCAACCCCGGAUCUGCGGUGGGUACGGGCAGACUAGAGUGAUGUAGGGGAGACUGGAAUUCCUGGUGUAGCGGUGAAAUGCGCAGAUAUCAGGAGGAACACCGAUGGCGAAGGCAGGUCUCUGGGCAUUAACUGACGCUGAGGAGCGAAAGCAUGGGGAGCGAACAGGAUUAGAUACCCUGGUAGUCCAUGCCGUAAACGUUGGGCACUAGGUGUGGGGGACAUUCCACGUUUUCCGCGCCGUAGCUAACGCAUUAAGUGCCCCGCCUGGGGAGUACGGCCGCAAGGCUAAAACUCAAAGGAAUUGACGGGGGCCCGCACAAGCGGCGGAGCAUGCGGAUUAAUUCGAUGCAACGCGAAGAACCUUACCAAGGCUUGACAUGAACCGGAAAUACCUGGAAACAGGUGCCCCGCUUGCGGUCGGUUUACAGGUGGUGCAUGGUUGUCGUCAGCUCGUGUCGUGAGAUGUUGGGUUAAGUCCCGCAACGAGCGCAACCCUCGUUC
This 1048-nucleotide ribosomal RNA is filed under the name Arthrobacter psychrochitiniphilus. RNAcentral's name for it is "bacterial SSU rRNA". It matches the Rfam family "Bacterial small subunit ribosomal RNA", at positions 61 to 1110 of the family's 1533-position model. Lineage: Bacteria; Bacillati; Actinomycetota; Actinomycetes; Micrococcales; Micrococcaceae. The record is from RNAcentral.